AAUUGCCAUGGUUCGUGUGAAUCCGCUUUUAUGAAGAGCGGGACAUAUGUAUCCUUCCUUUCCUCUCCCGGAGCAAGUAAUGCAGGUCUUCGACUUUAAGAGCUUGUAUCCUUCCAUAAAACUGGAACCGGCAUCUCUCCUUUUGUAUAGAUUUAUGCUCCAGUACCUACCAUCUGACCAAUGUAAACCUCCAAUCCUUAGAGACCUCUGUCAUUUAAUUGUACAUCGUUCUUAUUUCAUAUAUGGACACCGUAUAUACGAACAAACUGUAGGUGUGUCCAUAGGAAGCCCAGUAGCAGGGGCUAUAGCAGAUAUAGUUGUCAGAUG
This 327-nucleotide long non-coding RNA is filed under the name Androctonus crassicauda. The record is from RNAcentral. Lineage: Eukaryota; Metazoa; Arthropoda; Arachnida; Scorpiones; Buthidae.